This 497-nucleotide ribosomal RNA is filed under the name uncultured bacterium. RNAcentral describes it as "partial 16S ribosomal RNA". It matches the Rfam family "Bacterial small subunit ribosomal RNA", at positions 28 to 507 of the family's 1533-position model. The record is from RNAcentral.
GAUGAACGCUGGCGGCGUGCCUAAUACAUGCAAGUCGAGCGAACGGACGAGAAGCUUGCUUCUCUGAUGUUAGCGGCGGACGGGUGAGUAACACGUGGAUAACCUACCUAUAAGACUGGGAUAACUUCGGGAAACCGGAGCUAAUACCGGAUAAUAUUUUGAACCGCAUGGUUCAAAAGUGAAAGACGGUCUUGCUGUCACUUAUUGAUGGAUCCGCGCUGCAUUAGCUAGUUGGUAAGGUAACGGCUUACCAAGGCAACGAUGCAUAGCCGACCUGAGAGGGUGAUCGGCCACACUGGAACUGAGACACGGUCCAGACGCCUACGGGAGGCAGCAGUAGGGAAUCUUCCGCAAUGGGCGAAAGCCUGACGGAGCAACGCCGCGUGAGUGAUGAAGGUCUUCGGAUCGUAAAACUCUGUUAUUAGGGAAGAACAUAUGUGUAAGUAACUGUGCACAUCUUGACGGUACCUAAUCAGAAAGCCACGGCUAACUACGUG